Molecule: long non-coding RNA, 2819 nt
Filed under: Meleagris gallopavo (turkey)
Lineage: Eukaryota; Metazoa; Chordata; Aves; Galliformes; Phasianidae
Description: lncRNA (ENSMGAG00000021063.1)
Source: RNAcentral
AUGCAGAAAUGGUGCUGGCGGCCAAAUGGCGGCGGCGCUGAACCUUCAGCUCCCGAAGGAGCCGGCGGGACUGCAGAGGGACAGCCAGAACCCAAAGAGCCCAAAGGAGGAGAGGGAAACACCAACACACAUAGCGAGCGAGAGGGAGAGAAAGGGAGAAAGGCAGGAGGAGAAAUGGAGAGAGAUGGGGUGAGACGGUCCUGGGGGGAGCAGGACCCCCCCGACCCCCUGCCCCCACAGCAUCACUGCCCCGGAGUGUGGCCCCAAACGCCCGCAUGGUGCACAGUGCUCACCUUCCAGCCCCGUGCGUACGCCUGCAGCAGCAGCACCGAGCGCUUCAUCUGCUUGUACCGGUUCCUUUGCUGCAGGGGGAGCAGGGGGGGGUCACACCCUUGGACGCCCCAUGCCCCCAGCCCAGGGGGUGAAUGGGGAAGGGUGCAGCACAGCCAGGACCCCCUCCUCACCGCAUGGCCGCGGAACCAUGCGGAGAUGAGGAUUUGGCUCUUGCGCAUCAGCUGGUACCGCUUCUGGCAGCGCCAACCGCGGAACGUCGCCUGGAUGAGGGUGGCCAACUCGGCCACGCGCUGCUGGCGCCGCUUCUCCAGGUCAAAGAGCUGCAGAUGGAGCAGAGCUGAGGGCUGUGCAGCCAGAACCCCCAACCCCACACUCACAGUUCGUGGCGAGCGGAUGAAGAUUUUGGUGUGGCCGUACGCCACCUCCUCGGGGGGGAACUUCAGCUCCGCCAGCAGCACCUCAGUGCCCUCCCUGCAGCACGCAGGGAUGCUCAGACCCUGCACCCCACAGCAGUGGGGCUGCGGGACGUGCAACCACCCAGCCCCCCCUUUCUCCCCCUGACCUGUCACUGCCCAUCCAGUGGGGCCAGGUCCUCCUGCUCAGCAUCUUGUAGCGCUUCAGGAAGGGCUGGUAGAGCUGGCGGAAGGCGUAGCCUGCACGCCGUACCCGCACGUUCUCCAUCAGCCCCAGGUAGCGCACCUGAGCCAGCACCAGAUCCGGAGUGAAGAGCAUUGCUGUCUUGGUGUCAUUGGGUUUGAUGCACCUGGGGAGGGAGGGGGUGGGGGCAGCGGUGGGCACGGGGGGGGGGGUCCCACUGUGUACCCCACACACGUGGUCCCGCCUGGCACUACCUGAUGUAGUUGGGGUUCUUGGAGUAGAGGUUCUUCAUCAGCGUCGCCACAGAUGCCUUGAACUGGGAGCCGGUGGUGGGGGGCAGUUUGAGGGAGGGUCUUUGGGGGUCACCCUCGGGGAAGAGGGAGCGCAGCAGAGUGUGCCGGGCGGCCCACAUGGCCUGGGACAGGUCACGGAACAGCAGGUCGUUGUUCUUCUCGAUGAAGCCUGUCACGUUGUAGGUCACCUGGGGAUGGGAGCAGGGUCAGUGCCAUGGAAGGGCUGGGAUGAGGACUGGGUCAGGGGAGUGGGAGCAGGGCCAGCGUGUGCCCCAGCCCCACGGAAAGGAUGGGAGGAGGACUGGGUGCCCCGCUUUUCCCCGGGGAUGGGGCUGCGGGUGCCCUGCACCUUCCCAGCAUAGUGGUGGAUGCGGAAGCAGCGCAGCGGCAGGCUGACGUCGGUGACGUGUUUGGCGUUCAGCGUCUCUUUGCUCUCAUAGCGUUUGUGGGAGGCGAAGAUCUGGUUCAGUUUGGUGAUGAAGGUGUCCUCGUUCACGGUGCCGGGCCGCAGGCACUCCUCGUCCAGCAUGGCCAGGAUUCCAAUCUUGCUCUGUGCCGUGGGGGGACAGCGUCACCCCCAGCCCACCCCAAAACUGCCCCAAAAUGCCCGAGCGCAGAGCAUUGGCCCCACUGAACCACUUCAGGACCUGAAAGCCCCACUCUGGGGGCAGGAACUCACGUUCUCAAUGAGGUCGCAGAUGAUGCUGUUGUCAAAAAACUCCACUGGCGUCCACUGGAUGCCCUGGGAGCAGAGGGGUGUCAUGCACAAGCCCUGCCCCAUAGGCACCCCCCAUUGGUGUAGGGCAGGAAGCGGACGUCCGGCCGCCGGGACGGGGAUCCCGAAUCCCUCCCCGCCUUCCUGCCAUUGAGUUGCUCUCCCGGUGGGGGGCGGUGAGGAAGGGACGCGCUGUGGGGCCGUCUGGGGCGCUUCCCCAUCCCACUGAGGCUCCCCAGAGCCACAUCCCUUUGGGGUCAGCGUUACCUCUCGGACGUAUUCCUCCUGCUCCUCCUUCAGCGUCAUCAGGAUGAAGAUCUGCUGCAGCUUCUCGUUGCAGUAGUUGAUGAUGAACUGCUCGAAGCCGUUGUCCUAUGAGAUAAGCGACCCGAAUGGCAGAUGUGUGCUGGAGACCCCACCCCACAUCCCUCCUGCAGACCCCCGCCCCACAGCCCUCCUGCUGCCCCUCACCUGGAAGAUCUCGAAGCCGUAGAUAUCCAGGACUCCCAUCACCUUCCUCUGCUUUCCUGGCUUCACCUGGGGCACAGAGAGACUGAGCCACAUCCCUGUUGGGGGGGGGUCAGCACACGGUUGUGGGUUACCUGGGGGCUCACCUUGAUGCUGGUGUUGAUGCGGUUCACCAGCCAGUCGAACAGGCGGCUGUAGAUGUUCUUGGCCAAUGCAUCACGGCCGUAGUAGCCCUGGGGAGAGGGGAGGGGGCGCUCACAGGGGGGGUCCCAUGGUGUGAGCCCAAGGCGGGGGGGGGGCAUCCCUGCUCACCUGGGAGACGCUGAGCGCAGUCAGCACGCUCUCAUCCCGCACCUUCACAGUGCGUGAGCACAGCGCCUGCUCCAGAGUGCUGGGGUCCAGCCCGAUCAGCUGGCUGAUCUCCUGCAGCUCUGUGCCGGACAAAGCGGUGC